CUUCCGGUCGGCGCCGCCUGCGGAGGGCUCCGCGGCAGGCGGAGACGCGGGAGGCCAGCUAUGGCCGCGGAGGGGGCGAGCUGGGGUCUGGAUCUUGGAGGCUGACGGAAGGCGGUGACUGAGGAGAGGCGCCUCUGGUCGAGCUCUUGCCGUGUGUUCCGCACCUGCCUUUCCUGCCGCCGCCUCCCAUUAAGAGACAGGGCUUCGCCAUGUUGGUCAAGCUGGUCUUGAACUCCAGACUUCAGAUGAUCCACCUGCCUUGGACACCCAAAGUGUUGGGAUUACAGGAGUGAGCCCCCAUGCCCGGCCGUAAUUGUUAAAUUUUAAAGUGGCUAGCAUUCUGGGUCAUCACUGUGCAGUAGAAGUAUAAGCCAGCCACUUAUACUUGGUCAGCGAGAUAUUGCAUCUCAAGUCGGACUGGCUACAUUUCAAGGGCUAAACCAUCACAUGUUGCCAGUGGCUGCUGCAUUAGACUGUGCCAUGCUGGAUGGUGAGUCAGAAGAGAAACCAAGUGGAUUCCAUGUCAAGUGUUGAACAGGCUAAGAAGAAAAGUAAAUUGGGGAAAGAGCUUGGGGAAUGUGGGAUUUGCUGUUUGAAA
Sapajus apella (tufted capuchin) is the source of this 598-nucleotide long non-coding RNA. RefSeq lists it as uncharacterized. The transcript has 3 exons. Lineage: Eukaryota; Metazoa; Chordata; Mammalia; Primates; Cebidae. The record is from RefSeq and is a predicted model, not a curated record.